GCCGCUUCUGCCGUUUCUGCAGAUUAUGGUCGCCAUUACAAGAUGACGCUGGCUCCGCUGUGGUCUGUGACAAACAACUUCUUAUCUGGGAAAGUUGGCACAUGAUUUUUCACCACCCUGUGAGAAAGCUCCACGCGGCAGCUUUGCAUUGGGGCUUGGGAUGCUUUAUUAAGGCUGGGAGGGGCAUCCGAGAGAGAGAAGAAGAAAUAUCAAGGGCCUGAAUAAACUGCUGAAAGAAGAUUCCUGAGUUGCGUCUUCCUUGCGGGCAAGGGGUCGCGACAAGUGGUGCCGAGACCCGGGAACCAGAACUUUCAGCAGUCAGGGGUGGUGCACCGGUUAGUCCCAGGUAAGUGGGAUCCGCGAUCAAAGCGGGGUUAGUCCCAGGUAAGUGGGAUCCGCGACCAAAGCGGGGCAGCUCCUCUGUAAAGAAAGAGAGAGCAUUACAUUUUAUUGCAGCUGCACUGUGUACUUUCGCUUUUGUUUUCUGUGUUUCUUUUGUUGUGUCAUUUCGCUUUUGUUUUUUGUGCUUCUUUUGUUGUUGUGACGACAGGGACGCUCCCCUGUAAAAGGAAGAGAGCGGGGAAUUCAUAGAACGGAACGCUCCCCUGUAAAAGGAAGAGAGCGGGGACUUUUGUACUUUCACUUUCUUUAUAGCUCUAAAAACAUUAUGGGCGUUGCUUCUUCAAGCCCAAUUUUGUUGGCCCUAGAUGGGUUGUUACAUUCAAAAGGACUUAAGAUAAAGCAGAGUACUUUGCAGAUGUUUUUAAGAGAAGCUGAUAUAGCGGCUCCUUGGUUUGCUUUUUCAGGGAGUCUUACGGUUCCCAGCUGGGACAAAUUAGGGAAAGAUCUAGAUUUCGCUCAUGAGCAAGGUACCUUGCAGGGUGGCAUUAUACCACUUUGGAAGUUAGUUAGAGGAUGUAUAACAGAUGGUAAAUGCCAGGAAGCUGUGAGUGAGGGUCAAGCUAUUCUUGAGCAACUGCAUGAGGAAAAAUCUGAAGGAUCAUGUAGUGAAGUGGCAGAGAGUAUUAAAAGUAACAGUAGUGAGAAGGCAAAAGAGCCUGAAGAUAAAAAUAGGAGAAGGCUCUACCCAGACUUGACCGAAUUAAAAACGCCUGAGAACACAAGCGACUCAGAGAGUUCUGAGGACCUUGAUAUAUUGUUACAACAACUACAUAAGAUAAAAAUGAAAAAGAAGAAAAAGGAGACACAGGGCACGCAGGCCUACUGUAAGAAGGGGAAGGGAGUUAACAUCGGUCAACAAAACUCUGAGGAGGAGGAGGUAGAAUAUCUAGAAGAAGAUAUGGUGCCGAUUGCCCCACCUCCGUAUGUGGGGGGGAGCCAAGGUUCCGGGAGAUCUUUUCAUGCACAAGUUUGGAGGACAGUUAAUACAGAUAUGGGACUUGCAUACCCUGUAUUUCAGGACAAUAACAGGGGAAGAUAUCAUGAGCCUUUAGACUUUAAGAUAAUUAAAACCUUGGCAGAAUCUGUCCGCACUUAUGGCAUAGAUGCCGCUUUCACUCUCACUCAGGUGGAGGGACUUACUAGAUUUUGCAUGACUCCCUCAGAUUGGGCUAGUCUAGUCCGCGCUUGUGUUUCCCCAGGGAAAUAUUAGGAGUCCAAAGUUGGCUGUUUAAUGUUUCUGGCAGUACCCAAGACUCGGAGCGAGGUAGGAGGCUUAAAAUUUCUGCAAAUAAUUCACAAUUAUCUAAUGCUACAUUACCCUCCGCAGCAGUCUGUCUCCAAUCUCCGUUCCUGUUUCUUUUGGCUAAUGUUACAUUACAGGGGAUGCUUAAUUGUUCUAAUAUUACCUGUUAUUUGUCUGAGUGUUGGAAUGGAUCCUGGCCUAUGGCAGUGGUUAUGAAAAUUCCAACUUUUGUCCCGAUCCCGGUUACUGCAGAUCCAGAGUCAUUUCCUAUUGUUGAACUGAUUAGAGCCCGUAGAGAUUUUGGAAUUACGGCAGCUAUAGUGACAGCUGUGGCGGUAUCUGCUGCUGCAGCAGUUACAGCUGGAGUAGCCAUGGCCAGCCAGGUACAAACUGCUGCCACUAUUAAUCAGGUUAUUCAACAAACAUCCACCAUACUUGAAUCUCAAAGUAGAAUUAAUCAAUAUAUUUUAUCUGGGAUUCUGGCUGCUAAUCAAAGGAUAGAUCUACUUCAAGCUCAAGUUGAGGAAUUGUCUGACCUAGUACAUUUGGGUUGUAUUGAUCAACGUGCACAUUUAUGUAUAACCUCUGUCAGAUUUUAUGAUUCCAGAAAUGCCUCCCGCAUCAUCGGGGAGUAUCUAUCCGAAACCUGGUCCAUGGAAACAGAAAACUUGAUCCAGUCUCAACUAACUCAGAUUGCUGUUUUGAACAGUACCCGUGUCGAUCCCGUGACUUUGGGUCAAU
RNAcentral lists this long non-coding RNA (2386 nucleotides) under Marmota monax (woodchuck). The record is from RNAcentral. Lineage: Eukaryota; Metazoa; Chordata; Mammalia; Rodentia; Sciuridae.